GGCCCGUUCGUCUAUCGGUUAGGACAUAAGAUUUUCAAUCUUAUAAGAGGGGUUCGACUCCCCUACGGGCUA
This 72-nucleotide transfer RNA is filed under the name Candidatus Aminicenantota bacterium. Its description in RNAcentral is "Candidatus Aminicenantes bacterium tRNA-Glu". It matches the Rfam family "tRNA". Rfam says of the family: Transfer RNA (tRNA) molecules are approximately 80 nucleotides in length. Lineage: Bacteria; Candidatus Aminicenantota. The record is from RNAcentral. RNAcentral also lists the same sequence under 1 other name.